Pelobates cultripes (western spadefoot toad) is the source of this 463-nucleotide non-coding RNA. The record is from the annotation of a GenBank genome assembly. NCBI's taxonomy places the organism in Eukaryota, Metazoa, Chordata, Amphibia, Anura, Pelobatidae.
AAAAAGAAUACAAUACAAUCUAAAUCUGUUUUUUAGACUUCCCUUUAUCUUCAGGAACUGUGUUUCUGAUCCUCAUCUCUCUUCUUGUCUACUUCUGACCACAAAUUAUUCUUCUCUUCUUGUUUGUGCUCCAAAGCAAUCUCCUCGGUCCUGAUCUGUUGACCACUGACACAAAAUGGUGGUGAAACAAAAUGGCGGCACAUCCAGAAAAAAGUUCAUAAAGUCAGAAAUGCCUGUAUUGCUGUCAUAUCGAGAUCUUGCACUUAGUAACAAAGUAGCCAAUUCAGAGAGCAGAAAGUCAGUGGUGAUCUAUGCAGCCAGGGUGGUGAAUGAGCUUUGAGAAAGAGACCGCUUCCCAUAUAACAGAGAUUACACAGGAUGCCUCGAGGGCACCUUUCGAGCUUUAUAUAUUAAUAUAACCCACACAGGGACAGCCCAAGACAUUGUGCUGCCUGGGUCCAAG